UACGGAGGGUGCAAGCGUUAAUCGGAAUUAUUGGGCGUAAAGCGCGCGCAGGUGGUUCCUUAAGUCUGAUGUGAAAGCCCACGGCUCAACCGUGGAGGGUCAUUGGAAACUGGGGAACUUGAGUGCAGAAGAGGAAAGUGGAAUUCCAAGUGUAGCGGUGAAAUGCGUAGAGAUUUGGAGGAACACCAGUGGCGAAGGCGACUUUCUGGUCUGUAACUGACACUGAGGCGCGAAAGCGUGGGGAGCAAACAGG
Molecule: ribosomal RNA, 253 nt
Filed under: uncultured bacterium
Lineage: Bacteria
Description: partial 16S ribosomal RNA
Rfam family: Bacterial small subunit ribosomal RNA
Source: RNAcentral